UUAUAGCCCCGAUUGCAGUGGAAAAUCCUUUUUGCGAGAGGCUAUGCCGAGCAAAAAGAUUAUAACGAAAAGCGGGAUAACGC
This 83-nucleotide small RNA is filed under the name Epilithonimonas pallida. Its description in RNAcentral is "Flavo-1 RNA". It matches the Rfam family "Flavo-1 RNA". The record is from RNAcentral. Lineage: Bacteria; Pseudomonadati; Bacteroidota; Flavobacteriia; Flavobacteriales; Weeksellaceae.